RNAcentral lists this long non-coding RNA (744 nucleotides) under Marmota monax (woodchuck). The record is from RNAcentral. Lineage: Eukaryota; Metazoa; Chordata; Mammalia; Rodentia; Sciuridae.
GGGAAUUGAAACAGGAGUGUUUUACCACUGAGCUACAUCUCCAAUUCUUUUUUAUUUUUUAUUUGGAGACAGUGUUUCACUAAAUUGCUUAGGGUGGCCUCAAAUUUGCAAGUGUCCUACCUCAGCUUUUGAGUCUCUGGGAUUACAGGAGUGCACCACCACACCCAGCCCAUCAUCUUCUCUAACCCCUGCUGACUACUUAGUGAAAAAUACCAAGAAAUUUGUUCAUACAUGAAGAAUUUAGGAAGUGAUGUAUCCACCUACAUGGUGCUACUCAGUACAUUGUGAAAUUUUAAGCAUCAGAAGUGACUACCAAAAGGUAUGUAUUUUUAGUAACAUAUCUCAUCUUGAUUUAAAAAAAAGAUAAUUCUUUCAUUUGUUAGAUGAAUGGAUGGACAGAGAAAUAAGUAGAGAGGUUAGGAAGAUGGACAUCGUGUGAUCUGGAAGAAAAAUCACAUGAGUUCUUUGAUGUCAGUUUCCUUACCCACAAAAGUUGAGAUGAUAAUAUGUGCAGAAUUUGAAAAGAGAAAUGAGAAAGGCUCAGCUCAUAGUAGCAGCUAUUCAAUAAACGUUAGGUGAGUUAAAAAAGAGAGGGAUAGAAAAAAAGCUAAAUGGAAUAGAAGCAUUUGGAACACAAGCAGAGAUGUUUUAAAUGGACCAUUAUUGUGAAGAAAUUUUAAAAUGUAGACGGUCAUACAAUAGUAGGUUUUUAUUUUUUGUCUUUUAGGCACAAUGGGAUUUUGG